RNAcentral lists this ribosomal RNA (396 nucleotides) under uncultured bacterium. Its description in RNAcentral is "bacterial SSU rRNA". It matches the Rfam family "Bacterial small subunit ribosomal RNA", at positions 30 to 424 of the family's 1533-position model. The record is from RNAcentral.
AAUUGAACGCUGGCGGCGUGCUUAACACAUGCAAGUCGUGCGGUAACAGGCGUAGCAAUACGUGCUGACGAGCGGCGAACGGGUGCGUAAUACAUGGGAAUCUGCCUUUUAGUGGGGAAUAACCCGGCGAAAGCCGGGCUAAUGCCGCAUAAGAUCUUCGGAUGAAAGCGGGGGAUCGUAAGACCUCGCGCUGAUAGAUGAGCCCAUGCCGGAUUAGCUAGUUGGUGAGGUAACGGCUCACCAAGGCGACGAUCCGUAGCUGGUCUGAGAGGACGGCCAGCCACACUGGGACUGAGACACGGCCCAGACUCCUACGGGAGGCAGCAGUGGGGAAUAUUGGACAAGUGGGGAGACCCUGAUCCAGCGACGCGCGUGUGUGAAGAAGGCCUGCGGGUU